GAGACAGCAGCAGCCACGGUAAUACGUAGGUGGCAAGCGUUGUCCGGAAUUAUUGGGCGUAAAGGGCUCGCAGGCGGUUUCUUAAGUCUGAUGUGAAAGCCCCCGGCUCAACCGGGGAGGGUCAUUGGAAACUGGGAAACUUGAGUGCAGAAGAGGAGAGUGGAAUUCCACGUGUAGCGGUGAAAUGCGUAGAGAUGUGGAGGAACACCAGUGGCGAAGGCGACUCUCUGGUCUGUAACUGACGCUGAGGAGCGAAAGCGUGGGGAGCGAACAGGAUUAGAUACCCCCGUAGUCCCUGUCUCUUAUAC
This 308-nucleotide ribosomal RNA is filed under the name uncultured bacterium. RNAcentral's name for it is "partial 16S ribosomal RNA". It matches the Rfam family "Bacterial small subunit ribosomal RNA", at positions 505 to 807 of the family's 1533-position model. The record is from RNAcentral.